This is a long non-coding RNA of Capra hircus (goat), 740 nucleotides long. RefSeq lists it as uncharacterized. The transcript is spliced from 2 exons. NCBI's taxonomy places the organism in Eukaryota, Metazoa, Chordata, Mammalia, Artiodactyla, Bovidae. The record is from RefSeq and is a predicted model, not a curated record.
GGGGGCAUUGCAGAGAAGGGCCAGGCUCCAGAGGAAGCAGGGGGCGGGAGCGCUCAGGCCUCUCUGAGCGGUGGGGCCGUGGUCCAUUUCUGAGCAGCCUAACAGGAAUGUCCAGCUGGCUUCCAAGUCAGAUCUGAUGUCUCAGGCGAAGGGCAGGCCCAGCUGGGUGGGAGUGGAUUCUUUCCCGCUGCCUCAUUGCCUCUCCGAGAAAGGAAGUGUGAGUGCCCGGGGCAGGCGCCCUGCACGCAGCCCAUGACUGUCUGUGGGUGGUUGUGUCCUCCACGCUUCUGCCGCUCAAGGAGGAUGCUGCUAUGGUGAGAAAACUAUGCUUCAAGAGGUAAACAGUGACUGCAGAGCCAGCCUAUGGCCAGAGUUGGGAAAGGAACACAGUCGACCGGUCUUCUGAGCCUUGUGUGAGAAGCCACACUCCCCUAACCCAUAGAGACAGCCACUGCUCUGCACUCAGCUCCCUCUCAUGACCACAGCCAGGAUCUGGCCUGUCCUUCAAGUCAGAAUGACUGAUCAAAGUCUCAAGUGCCCUCCAGGCAGAGAUAAAUAACAGAGAGGUAGAUCCUGGGAUUCUGGUUUUGUAUUUUUAAAUGGAAGGAGAGAUAAAUCAUUUCUGCUAACUGUUUUUACCUGGCUGCAGGAAAUGAUGCAUCACCAUCUUUUAAAAGAAAAUUAAGCCUUUAAUUCCAUGGCACAUGUAAUAAAAUGAUACUUCAGCUCUCUGCCUUGAA